GGUAAGGUCCCCUUCGGGGGACACACGAGUGGCGAACGGGUGAGUAACACGUGGGCAACCUGCCCCUCACAUCGGGAUAACCACCGGAAACGGUGGCUAAUACCGGAUACUCCGGCGAGAUCGCAUGGUCUUGCCGGGAAAGCUCCGGCGGUGAGGGAUGGGCCCGCGGCCCAUUAGCUUGUUGGUGGGGUAAUGGCCUACCAAGGCGACGAUGGGUAGCCGAGCUGAGAGGCUGAUCGGCCACACUGGGACUGAGACACGGCCCAGACUCCUACGGGAGGCAGCAGUGGGGAAUCUUGCGCAAUGGGCGAAAGCCUGACGCAGCAACGCCGCGUGCGGGAUGAAGGCCUUCGGGUUGUAAACCGCUUUCAGCAGGGAUGAAACUGACAGUACCUGCAGAAGAAGCCCCGGCUAACUACGUGCCAGCAGCCGCGGUAAUACGUAGGGGGCGAGCGUUAUCCGGAUUCAUUGGGCGUAAAGCGCGCGUAGGCGGCUUGCUAAGUCAGAUGUGAAAACCGGGGGCUCAACCCGCGGCCUGCAUCUGAAACUGGCAGGCUUGAGUCUGGUAGAGGAAAGUGGAAUUCCUGGUGUAGCGGUGAUAUGCGCAGAUAUCAGGAGGAACACCAGUGGCGAAGGCGGCUUUCUGGGCCACGACUGACGCUGAGGCGCGAAAGCUAGGGGAGCAAACAGGAUUAGAUACCCUGGUAGUCCUAGCUGUAAACGAUGGGCACUANGUGUGGGGGGUCAUCGACUCCCUCCGUGCCGCANCUAACGCAUUAAGUGCCCCGCCUGGGGAGUACGGCCGCAAGGCUAA
RNAcentral lists this ribosomal RNA (814 nucleotides) under uncultured Actinomycetes bacterium. RNAcentral describes it as "bacterial SSU rRNA". It matches the Rfam family "Bacterial small subunit ribosomal RNA", at positions 68 to 897 of the family's 1533-position model. Lineage: Bacteria; Bacillati; Actinomycetota; Actinomycetes. The record is from RNAcentral.